GACUAAGGUUCAUUUCCAUCUCUUUUCCCUACAUUACCAACACAAAGAAGGGAAGAUAAGAGAUGGACAAAAGAACCAAAGUCAUUACAAGAAAGUUACCCUAACAGACCAAACUAAAAUACUAACCAAAAACACAAACAAAUAAUACAAACAAUAUGCAUAUAGGCCCAUCAACCCUAUUUUCUUCCUUUUCCCCUCUCCUCUUUUGCUUCAUUAUUACCAAAAGAAAUUAUUG
Molecule: unclassified non-coding RNA, 235 nt
Filed under: Hevea brasiliensis (rubber tree)
Lineage: Eukaryota; Viridiplantae; Streptophyta; Magnoliopsida; Malpighiales; Euphorbiaceae
Source: RNAcentral